RNAcentral lists this ribosomal RNA (436 nucleotides) under uncultured bacterium. RNAcentral describes it as "partial 16S ribosomal RNA". It matches the Rfam family "Bacterial small subunit ribosomal RNA", at positions 29 to 507 of the family's 1533-position model. The record is from RNAcentral.
AACGAACGCUGGCGGCAUGCCUAACACAUGCAAGUCGAACGAUGGUCUUCGGAUCAUAGUGGCGCACGGGUGCGUAACGCGUGGGAAUCUGCCCUUGGGUUCGGAAUAACAGUUGGAAACGACUGCUAAUACCGGAUGAUGUCGAUAAGACCAAAGAUUUAUCGCCCGAGGAUGAGCCCUCGUCGGAUUAGCUAGUUGGUGGGGUAAAGGCCUACCAAGGCGACGAUCCGUAGCUGGUCUGAGAGGAUGAUCAGCCACACUGGGACUGAGACACGGCCCAGACUCCUACGGGAGGCAGCGGUGGGGAAUAUUGGACAAUGGGCGCAAGCCUGAUCCAGCAAUGCCGCGUGAGUGAUGAAGGCCUUAGGGUUGUAAAGCUCUUUUACCCGGGAAGAUAAUGACUGUACCGGGAGAAUAAGCCCCGGCCAACUCCGUG